ACGGAAGGCAGCAGUGAGGAAUAUUGGUCAAUGGGCGGAAGCCUGAACCAGCCAUGUCGCGUGCAGGACUACGGCCCUACGGGUCUUAAACUGCUUUUGCAAGGGGAUAAAGUGGGGCACGCGUGCCCCUUUGCAGGUACCUUGCGAAUAAGGAUCGGCUAACUCCGUGCCAGCAGCCGCGGUAAUACGGAGGAUCCGAGCGUUAUCCGGAUUUAUUGGGUUUAAAGGGUGCGUAGGCGGGCUGUUAAGUCAGCGGUGAAACCCCCGGGCUCAACCCGGGGACUGCCAUUGAAACUGGCGGCCUUGAGUACGUUGGGAGUGCGCGGAAUGUGUGGUGUAGCGGUGAAAUGCAUAGAUAUCACACAGAACACCGAUCGCGUAGGCAGCGCACUACGCCGCAACUGACGCUGAGGCACGAAGGUGCGGGGAUCAAACAGGAUUAGAUACCCUGGUA
This 454-nucleotide ribosomal RNA is filed under the name uncultured Mangroviflexus sp. RNAcentral describes it as "partial 16S ribosomal RNA". It matches the Rfam family "Bacterial small subunit ribosomal RNA", at positions 341 to 792 of the family's 1533-position model. The record is from RNAcentral. Lineage: Bacteria; Pseudomonadati; Bacteroidota; Bacteroidia; Marinilabiliales; Marinilabiliaceae.